RNAcentral lists this transfer RNA (73 nucleotides) under Pseudonocardiaceae bacterium YIM PH 21723. It matches the Rfam family "tRNA". From Rfam's summary of the family: Transfer RNA (tRNA) molecules are approximately 80 nucleotides in length. Their secondary structure includes four short double-helical elements and three loops (D, anti-codon, and T loops). The record is from Rfam by way of RNAcentral. Lineage: Bacteria; Bacillati; Actinomycetota; Actinomycetes; Pseudonocardiales; Pseudonocardiaceae.
GCCGGCUUAGCUCAGUUGGUAGAGCAACCGCCUUGUAAGCGGUAGGUCAGGAGUUCGAGUCUCCUAGCCGGCU